GGCGAACGGGUGAGUAACACGUGGAUGAUCUGCCCUGCACUUCGGGAUAAGCCUGGGAAACUGGGUCUAAUACCGGAUAGGAGCCAUUUUUAGUGUGAUGGUUGGAAAGUUUUUCGGUGUAGGAUGAGCUCGCGGCCUAUCAGCUUGUUGGUGGGGUAAUGGCCUACCAAGGUGGCGACGGGUAGCCGGCCUGAGAGGGUGGACGGCCGCAUUGGGACUGAGAUACGGCCCAG
Molecule: ribosomal RNA, 233 nt
Filed under: uncultured Actinomycetales bacterium
Lineage: Bacteria; Bacillati; Actinomycetota; Actinomycetes; Actinomycetales
Description: partial 16S ribosomal RNA
Rfam family: Bacterial small subunit ribosomal RNA
Source: RNAcentral